GACGGGUGAGUAACGCGUGGGUAACCGUGCCUCAUACAGGGGGGAGUAACAGUUGGAAACGACUGCUAAUACCGCAUAAGCGCACAGGAUCGCAUGAUCCGGUGUGAAAAACUCCGGUGGUAUGAGAUGGACCCGCGUCUGAUUAGCCAGUUGGCAGGGUAACGGCCUACCAAAGCGACGAUCAGUAGCCGACCUGAGAGGGUGACCGGCCACAUUGGGACUGAGACACGGCCCAAACUCCUACGGGAGGCAGCAUG
This 257-nucleotide ribosomal RNA is filed under the name uncultured bacterium. Its description in RNAcentral is "partial 16S ribosomal RNA". It matches the Rfam family "Bacterial small subunit ribosomal RNA", at positions 100 to 353 of the family's 1533-position model. The record is from RNAcentral.